GUUGCGAACGUUUGACUCGCU
This 21-nucleotide small nuclear RNA is filed under the name Arabidopsis thaliana (thale cress). Its description in RNAcentral is "snRNA_00721". The record is from RNAcentral. Lineage: Eukaryota; Viridiplantae; Streptophyta; Magnoliopsida; Brassicales; Brassicaceae.